GCCCGGUUAGCUCAAUCGGUAGAGCGUGAGACUCUUAAUCUCAAGGUUGCGGGUAAGUUCAUCCAUCCACAACAGUGGUUCUUCUCACAAUCAAUUGCAUGCUAACAUCACCUUAAAGGUUCGACCCCCGCAUCGGGCU
Non-coding RNA from Daldinia loculata, 139 nucleotides. The record is from the annotation of a RefSeq genome assembly. NCBI's taxonomy places the organism in Eukaryota, Fungi, Ascomycota, Sordariomycetes, Xylariales, Hypoxylaceae.